AUGAACACUGUUUUAAAACACCAACAAUGGAGAUAUUUGGAACAGUUUCCCAAAAGGCACCACGUUUGCUGUAACAUCUGUGCAAAACGAGGAACACGGUGCAAUCCUGCCGUUUGUCAGCAGCAAUACGCGCUCCCUCCCCAAAACGACUCGAUAAAGCCCGGAGACCGCAAGGAAACCCGGAGCCCGGCGCGCCACGGCGCCGCAUUAGCGGGCACGGACGCCCUCUCACCCCGGCGGGGCGGCGCAGCACAAAGCAGCGCCGCAGGCAGGGCCGGGGCCGGCGGGAGCGCGGGGCCGGCUGCCCUCGCCGCGGCGGCCGGGGCACAAAGGCUGGUGCCGGGCUGCCCCCAGGCGCCCCGCGCCGAGCCCCGCCGGCGCCCCCGCGCCGCGCCGCGCUCCCGCCCGGAACAAAGCCCCGCGCUUACCAGCGGCGGCUGCAGCCUCUCGCCGCCCUCGCACACCCUCUCCUCCUCCUCGUCCCCGUUUAAAAUCCAGGCGCAGGAGCACGGGGCGGGGAGGCGGCGGGGGGACCUGCGCCGCAGUUCAUUCAGCGCCGGGAGCGCCCCCGCGCAGCGCUCCGCGGCCGCGCUCGGCUCCCUCCGUGCGCUCGGGCUCUGGCUUAAUCUCCAAACUUCCUCCUGCUCCUCCUCUCGCCCGAGCAGGGGAGUUUGUGAAACUCCCCUCCUCCAUGCAGCUCCCGCAGCCGCGCCGCUGCCUCGGCCCCUCCCCAGGGAGGCCCGGCCUGGCCCUGGGCUGCUGCUGACUCCUCGCCCCUCUUUUCCUCCUCGCCCGGAGGCUGGAAGAGGGGGAGAAAGAUUAACCACUUGGACUUGCCUCUGGAUCCGAGCCAAACAGGGCAGUCAAAUUACAGCCCCGGGAAGAAGAAGGGGGGGGGGGAUCAGCUACUGUUUUCACGCGCAGAGCAAGCGCUUCGUUUUCCCUCCCUCCCUUUUCAGCCGUCCCUGCGCUCGCAGGGCUCCGCCUCGCCCGGGCUUCCCCCUCUCGGUGGGAGCCCCGGCUGGGGCUGGUGGCGGCGCGGCCGGGGGCGCCGGUGCCGCGCAGCAGCCCCAGCCCCAGCCCCGUCCCCGUCUGCCUCGGGGAGACCCAGCCCCGCCGCUGGGUCCUCUGCGAUACCACAGGUUUUAA
This 1149-nucleotide long non-coding RNA is filed under the name Apteryx haastii (Great spotted kiwi). RNAcentral's name for it is "lncRNA (ENSAHAG00000013580.1)". Lineage: Eukaryota; Metazoa; Chordata; Aves; Apterygiformes; Apterygidae. The record is from RNAcentral.